UACACUCCUACGGGAGGCAGCAGUGGGGAAUUUUGGCCAAUGGGCGAAAGCCUGAUCCAGCAAUGCCGCGUGUGUGAAGAAGGCCUUCGGGUUGUAAAGCACUUUUGUCCGGAAAGAAAUCCUUGGCUCUAAUACAGUCGGGGGAUGACGGUACCGGAAGAAUAAGCACCGGCUAACUACGUGCCAGCAGCCGCGGUAAUACGUAGGGUGCGAGCGUUAAUCGGAAUUACUGGGCGUAAAGCGUGCGCAGGCGGUUUGCUAAGACCGAUGUGAAAUCCCCGGGCUCAACCUGGGAACUGCAUUGGUGACUGGCAGGCUAGAGUAUGGCAGAGGGGGGUAGAAUUCCACGUGUAGCAGUGAAAUGCGUAGAGAUGUGGAGGAAUACCGAUGGCGAAGGCAGCCCCCUGGGCCAAUACUGACGCUCAUGCACGAAAGCGUGGGGAGCAAACAGGAUUAGAUACCCUGGUAGUCCCA
Molecule: ribosomal RNA, 474 nt
Filed under: uncultured organism
Description: partial 16S ribosomal RNA
Rfam family: Bacterial small subunit ribosomal RNA
Source: RNAcentral